RNAcentral lists this ribosomal RNA (253 nucleotides) under uncultured bacterium. RNAcentral's name for it is "partial 16S ribosomal RNA". It matches the Rfam family "Bacterial small subunit ribosomal RNA", at positions 524 to 776 of the family's 1533-position model. The record is from RNAcentral.
UACGUAGGGUGCGAGCGUUGUCCGGAAUUAUUGGGCGUAAAGAGCUCGUAGGCGGUCUGUCGUGUCGGAUGUGAAAACCCAGGGCUCAACCCUGGGCCUGCAUUCGAUACGGGCAGACUAGAGUUCGGUAGGGGAGACUGGAAUUCCUGGUGUAGCGGUGAAAUGCGCAGAUAUCAGGAGGAACACCGGUGGCGAAGGCGGGUCUCUGGGCCGAAACUGACGCUGAGGAGCGAAAGCGUGGGGAGCAAACAGG